GAUGAACGCUGGCGGCGUGCCUAAUACAUGCAAGUCGAGCGAACGGACGAGGAGCUUGCUCCUCUGACGUUAGCGGCGGACGGGUGAGUAACACGUGGAUAACCUACCUAUAAGACUGGGAUAACUUCGGGAAACCGGAGCUAAUACCGGAUAAUAUUUUGAACCGCAUGGUUCAAUAGUGAAAGACGGUUUUGCUGUCACUUAUAGAUGGAUCCGCGCUGCAUUAGCUAGUUGGUAAGGUAACGGCUUACCAAGGCGACGAUGCGUAGCCGACCUGAGAGGGUGAUCGGCCACACUGGAACUGAGACACGGUCCAGACUCCUACGGGAGGCAGCAGUAGGGAAUCUUCCGCAAUGGGCGAAAGCCUGACGGAGCAACGCCGCGUGAGUGAUGAAGGUCUUCGGAUCGUAAAACUCUGUUAUUAGGGAAGAACAAAUGUGUAAGUAACUAUGCACGUCUUGACGGUACCUAAUCAGAAAGCCACGGCUAACUACGUG
Molecule: ribosomal RNA, 497 nt
Filed under: uncultured bacterium
Lineage: Bacteria
Description: partial 16S ribosomal RNA
Rfam family: Bacterial small subunit ribosomal RNA
Source: RNAcentral